RNAcentral lists this ribosomal RNA (408 nucleotides) under uncultured bacterium. RNAcentral's name for it is "partial 16S ribosomal RNA". It matches the Rfam family "Bacterial small subunit ribosomal RNA", at positions 28 to 526 of the family's 1533-position model. The record is from RNAcentral.
GUCGAACGCUGGCGGCGUGCUUAACACAUGCAAGUCGAACGAAGUGGCGAACGGGUGAGUAACGCGUAAUCAACCUGCCCUUCACUAGAGGACAACAGUUGGAAACGGAUGCUAAUACUCUAUAGUGUAGGAUGUUGCUAUAUUGUAUCAGCUAGUUGGUGAGGUAAUGGCUCACCAAGGCUAUGACGCAUAACUGGUCUGAGAGGAUGAGGAGUAAAACUGGAAGUGAGACACGAUCGGGACUCAUACGGGAGGGAGCAGUAGGGAAUAGUGCUCAAUGGGGGAAUCCCUGGAGCAGCGACGCGGCGUGAAGGAUGACAAGUUGCGGAGCGGAAACUCCUGUUAAUAGGGAAGCGGUACCUAACGAAGAAGCACCGGCUAACUCCGUGCCAGCAGCCGCGGUAAUAC